UCGUCAGCUCGUGUCGUGAGAUGUUGGGUUAAGUCCCGCAACGAGCGCAACCCCUGUCGUGUGUUGUAUCACUCACACGAUACUGCCGAGAGAAACUCGGAGGAAGGCGGGGAUGACGUCAAGUCAGCAUGGCCCUUAUGUCUUGGGCUACACCCACGCUACAAUGGCCGGUACAACGGGCUUGCUAAGCCGCGAGGCGGAGCGAAUCCCAAAAAGCCGGUCUCAGUUCGGAUUGAGGUCUGCAACUCGACCUCAUGAAGUUGGAGUUGCUAGUAAUCGUAGAUCAGCAACGCUACGGUGAAUACGUUCCCGGGGCUUGUACACACCGCCCGUCACGUCACGAAAUCGGUAACACCCAAAACCAGUGGUCCAACCGUAAGGG
This 382-nucleotide ribosomal RNA is filed under the name uncultured bacterium. RNAcentral's name for it is "bacterial SSU rRNA". It matches the Rfam family "Bacterial small subunit ribosomal RNA", at positions 1052 to 1447 of the family's 1533-position model. The record is from RNAcentral.